This 1459-nucleotide ribosomal RNA is filed under the name metagenome. Its description in RNAcentral is "bacterial SSU rRNA". It matches the Rfam family "Bacterial small subunit ribosomal RNA". The record is from RNAcentral.
AGAGUUUGAUCCUGGCUCAGGACGAACGCUGGCGGCACGCUUAACACAUGCAAGUCGAACGAGAGAAGAGGAGCUUGCUUUUCUGAUCUAGUGGCGGACGGGUGAGUAACACGUGAACAAUCUGCCUUUCAGAGGGGGAUACCGAUUGGAAACGAUCGUUAAUACCGCAUAACAUAAUUGAACCGCAUGAUUUGAUUAUCAAAGAUUUAUCGCUGAAAGAUGAGCUCGCGUCUGAUUAGCUAGUUGGUAAGGUAACGGCUUACCAAGGCGACGAUCAGUAGCCGGACUGAGAGGUUGAUCGGCCACAUUGGGACUGAGACACGGCCCAGACUCCUACGGGAGGCAGCAGUGGGGAAUAUUGCACAAUGGAGGAAACUCUGAUGCAGCGAUGCCGCGUGAGGGAAGAAGGUUUUAGGAUUGUAAACCUCUGUCUUCAGGGACGAAAAAAGACGGUACCUGAGGAGGAAGCUCCGGCUAACUACGUGCCAGCAGCCGCGGUAAUACGUAGGGAGCGAGCGUUGUCCGGAAUUACUGGGUGUAAAGGGAGCGUAGGCGGGAUCGCAAGUCAGAUGUGAAAACUAUGGGCUUAACCCAUAAACUGCAUUUGAAACUGUGGUUCUUGAGUGAAGUAGAGGUAAGCGGAAUUCCUAGUGUAGCGGUGAAAUGCGUAGAUAUUAGGAGGAACAUCAGUGGCGAAGGCGGCUUACUGGGCUUUAACUGACGCUGAGGCUCGAAAGCGUGGGGAGCAAACAGGAUUAGAUACCCUGGUAGUCCACGCCGUAAACGAUGAUUACUAGGUGUGGGGGGACUGACCCCUUCCGUGCCGCAGCAAACGCAAUAAGUAAUCCACCUGGGGAGUACGACCGCAAGGUUGAAACUCAAAGGAAUUGACGGGGGCCCGCACAAGCAGUGGAGUAUGUGGAUUAAUUCGAAGCAACGCGAAGAACCUUACCAGGUCUUGACAUCGUAUGCAUAGCUCAGAGAUGAGUGAAAUCUCUUCGGAGACAUAUAGACAGGUGGUGCAUGGUUGUCGUCAGCUCGUGUCGUGAGAUGUUGGGUUAAGUCCCGCAACGAGCGCAACCCUUACUGUUAGUUGCUACGCAAGAGCACUCUAGCAGGACUGCCGUUGACAGAACGGAGGAAGGUGGGGAUGACGUCAAAUCAUCAUGCCCCUUAUGACCUGGGCCUCACACGUACUACAAUGGCUGUCAACAGAGGGAAGCAAAGCCGCGAGGUGGAGCGAACCCCUAAAAGCAGUCUUAGUUCGGAUUGUAGGCUGCAACCCGCCUACAUGAAGUCGGAAUUGCUAGUAAUCGCAGAUCAGCAUGCUGCGGUGAAUACGUUCCCGGGCCUUGUACACACCGCCCGUCACGCCAUGGGAGUCGGUAACACCCGAAGCCUGUAGUCUAACCGCAAGGAGGACGCAGUCGAAGGUGGGAUUGAUGACUGGGGUGAAGAC